Nannospalax galili (Upper Galilee mountains blind mole rat) is the source of this 1741-nucleotide RNA transcript. It is a transcript of the gene named DNA polymerase beta, with no coding region annotated. NCBI's taxonomy places the organism in Eukaryota, Metazoa, Chordata, Mammalia, Rodentia, Spalacidae. The transcript is spliced from 15 exons. The record is from RefSeq and is a predicted model, not a curated record.
UGACGUCAGCGCGCCGCGCCCUGUCAAGAGCGGGCAUUGUUUCGCCCGUGUCGCGGCCGCCGAUCCGGAGCUGCCCGGCUUUAGGUGACAGCCGCCAUGAGCAAACGCAAGGCGCCGCAGGAGACACUCAACGGCGGCAUCACGGACAUGCUCGUGGAACUCGCAAACUUUGAGAAGAACGUGAGCCAGGCCAUCCACAAGUAUAAUGCGUACAGAAAAGCAGCAUCUGUUAUAGCAAAGUACCCACACAAAAUCAAGAGUGGAGCAGAAGCUAAGAAAUUGCCGGGAGUAGGAACAAAAAUUGCUGAAAAGAUCGAUGAAUUUUUAGCAACUGGAAAAUUGCGUAAACUGGAAAAGAUUCGACAGGAUGAUACAAGUUCAUCUAUCAAUUUCCUGACUCGAGUUAGUGGCAUUGGUCCAUCUGCUGCAAGGAAGUUUGUAGAUGAAGGCAUUAAAACAUUAGAAGAUCUCAGGAAAAAUGAAGAUAAAUUGAACCAUCAUCAACGAAUUGGGCUGAAAUAUUUUGAGGACUUUGAAAAGAGAAUUCCUCGUGAAGAGAUGUUACAAAUGCAAGAUAUUGUACUAAGUGAAGUUAAAAAAGUGGAUUCUGAAUACAUUGCUACGGUCUGUGGCAGUUUCAGAAGAGGCGCAGAAUCCAGUGGAGACAUGGAUGUUCUUCUGACCCACCCAAACUUCACCUCAGAAUCAAUCAAACAGCCAAAGUUGUUACAUCGUGUUGUGGAGCAGUUACACAAAGUCCAUUUUAUUACCGAUACUCUGUCAAAGGGUGAAACAAAGUUCAUGGGUGUGUGCCAGCUUCCCAGGAAAAAUGAUGAAGAGGAGUAUCCACACAGAAGAAUUGAUAUCAGGUUGAUUCCCAAAGAUCAGUAUUACUGUGGUGUUCUCUACUUCACUGGAAGUGACAUUUUUAAUAAGAAUAUGAGAGCUCAUGCCUUAGAAAAGGGCUUCACAAUCAAUGAGUAUACCAUCCGCCCCUUGGGAAUCACUGAUGGAGCCUAGGGCACUGUGCACGCUAAGCCUCCACCACGGGCACACCCAGGCCAGGUUACCAUUUCUUCAUCUUCUGAAAGAGUUGCUGGAGAGCCCCUUCCGGUAGAUAGUGAGCAAGACAUUUUUGAUUACAUCCAGUGGAAGUACCGAGAGCCCAGGGAUCGAAGUGAAUGAGACCAUCCCCCCACCAACCCCCCCUAGGCAUGCCCACCAUUAGUCCUAAUUUAUUUCUUAACCAUUGCUAUGUAAGGGUAUUUGGUGUUUUUAAAUGAUUGCUGCUUCUCUAUGCUUACCAUGUACUGUAGUCAAUAAAACUUCUUGAGCUGUUACUGAAUGUUAUUCUUAUUUUCUUAGCAAAUUUGUUGAUGAUCAUAGUUUAUUAUGGGUUUGAUAGAAAGAACCAGAGACAAUGGCAGAUGCUUAAUGGGAAUUUCUAUUUCUGCCUUAUGCUGCAACUACAUUGUUCUUCUUCUAUCUGUCCCCUAUUUACUCAUUACAGUUUAGUCAAGGGACUCCCAGAGGUUACAGAACCAUCCAGAAUUUGGUUCUGUAUUCUUUAGAGACUAGGGACUGUCAUAAAUUCACCUUUUUCUUUGACCCAUUUGUAUUAUAUACUAAUAACUGUGCUUUUAUUUCACAAGUGAAAACUAUAGCAUGGGGUUGGAGACCAUUAGCAAGGGCCUCCCUAUGCAACCCACUUCUACGAGGAAUAAAGUUGGCUUCUUAAACC